GCUAUAGCAGAUUUUCAUUAUCCUUUUGGGUUCUUAAACUUUGAUCAAAGUUCCCCUUUCACCUUCUCUUUGAUAAACUAAACAGACUGACCUCUGCAGAUCUUUCUCUGUGGUCCUACUUUCUAAUCCCUCAAUAUGUUUUCAUAGCCUUUCCCUUAACACUCUCCAGCUUUGAAUUAUAGUGCACUGCUCAGAUAAAUCUUUUAAAUGGUUGUUUUUUAAGACUUGAAGACUGGCCAGACCCUUUGCUGCUUUCAGUGAUGGAAGGUGAAGAAUUGGCCACUCUGUUUUUCUGUUCUGGCCCUGUCACUCAGUUGCCAAAGGACUUUCUCUCACCAAAACUCAUGUUGUGUUCUUACUUUUAAUGGGAAAAAACUCUUCUUUGUAACCGAGAUAAAUGUCAUUUUACUUGCAGAUAAUUUAAGUUUGGAUAUUUAGAGUAUUUGUUUUAAACCUAAAUGACAUUCUGAGGUUCUGAUUGAAUACCUUUGUUUCUUUCUCAGAUGAAAUUAGUUACAUAGCUUCACCUGACUUUCUGCAUGAGUUGCACACAUGUGAACUGCUUUAAAUGCAGAUUGGCUGCUAAAGAGCCUUUUUCCAGCCUGAGCUAGAUGCCUCCAAAGCACGUCCCAUCUGGUGGGAGACUGGUGCAGCGCUCAGAUCUGCUCUAAGGAGGACUAUCACUAUCUCCUUCUUCCCAAACAUCAAGUGUACAUAAAAAGUCAUGAAAGUAAUGAGGAAUCAUUAAAAAAAUAUAUAUCCUGUCACCGUUUUUCCAAUAGACAGCUCAGGCUCUGAGAAGCAAUGAUUUUCUGGAGAAGAAAAAGAAAAUGCCAAGAAGAGGAGCUCUGAGCACUUAAAUGCUACAACAACAUGCUUUGGAAGUGGGAGGGAGCAGCCAGAGCCAUGCAUGUGCCAUUUGUUCUUCCUGCACGUGCCGAGCUGGAGGCUCGUGGUUGCUGUGCCUUUUCUCGGUUCCUGAGGGUUUUGUGCCUGCUGCCAGCUGUGCCCAGGGCUCCUGCUGCGUGCUGGAGCGAGUCCUUCGUCAGGCAUCGAGGGAAAGGAUUUGGGAAGUUUCCAUAUCUGGGGCUGGGCCCCGAUGCCUGGUGUGCUGGAUUCACCAUACACCAGCAGCACAACGAUCAGCCACUUCAUUCCAAGCACCUGCCUGCCUGCAAAACGUCCUUGCUCUGCGCUGAUGGCAGCCUUUGUGAUAGUUCCUGGGAAGCUGAUGCUCGCACGUGUGCCAGGGACUGGCUGGUGAGUGCAGACAGGAUUCCCUUCUGGACCAAGCCACCGACGAGAUGGGUUUUUUGCAGCUCCAGCUGCACAGCCCCAGAGACAAGAGCAGUGCUUUGUGGAGGAGUCACCGAGGCGCAGUGCACCAACCCCAGCGGGCGGAGGACGCGUUGUGCUCGGCACCGCUUGCUGCCAGGGAGCCCGGCUACAGGAGGAGCCCUCGCUGCAGCAGCUGCAGGAAAUUAAAUCCACAUAGAGACUGCUUCAUCUUUGGACUUUCCUCCCGAGGAGCCAGGCACAGUCUUCAGGUGGCCAGGCCUCUGGAGCAGAGCAGGUGCCCUCCUUACUAUACAUCAGACGUGUCAGAAAGCCACAGCAUUGCAUCUGCACCUCUAAAACACGUUACAGGGGCAAGGACAAAGUGGCAGUGUUGUUCCCUGUGUUGUACCAAGCACAGCCUGGUAUGUCUGUGCUGUUACUGGGUGUGCCAGCAUCAUCCCUGGGCACACCUGGUUGUGUGGUCAGGGAUUGUCACCACAUUACCUGGCUUGGCCUGCUCCAGAGCAAGGGCCAAAGGGGUUUACAAAUUCUUUAGUUUCUGUCCUCACAGCACUGUUGGCAUUUGACCACCUUAGCUGCUGACACUAUAACUUGGGACGAUGGCCUUCCCCAGCUACCCUACAAUUCCCCUGCUUCAUUAUUUUCCGUGGUUAUUGUACAGUGGCACAUUCCUUCCCCCUGUAAGCACUGCACGUGAUAUUUUGGGUCUAAAGCUUUGCAAGUAGCAAGCUCCUGAUGUUGCAGCCAUAUUACUGACCAAAGUCCUGCUUAUGGGAUCUGGGCUUUCAGCUGCUCUCAGCUCCUUGUUGGAGCUGGGGUGCUGCCGCUGGCCGUGCUGUGAGGGCUCAGUGUGCAGGGGAGCAGUGGUGCUGCCCACAGAGCAGCUCCGAUGCCUUCAGCUGAGGUAGGUUGGCCUCACAAUUUUUAGUCUUUGCUUGACUCUGAGUUCCAGCAAACAGAGCUGCAGGCCGGCUCAGCAGUGGCUGAAGGCAGGGUCCUGACCAGGGACCAAGCGCUGCUCUUGCUGGCAGCAAGGAGUCAUGAUCCCGAUCGAUAGCUGUGAAGGGAGCACUGGUGACAGGCAGAGCAGCCGUUCAGGCCGUCAGAUAUCUGAGUCAAAGAAUCGCUUAGGCUGGAAAAGACCCCUAAGAUCAUCAAGUCCAACUGAAUCCAUCAGUGCCUUUCCCUGGCAGUGUCACAGAUCCUGUGAAAUGGAAGGGACGUUAGCAAAGCUUUGCUGGCUUUGGGGAAGGCCCUUGGUGGAAGAAACCAUCUCUUGUAAUCUUCCCUGUUGAUAAACUCAGCCUGAGAUUGUCUCAGAAGAGCACUGCAAAAAAUGCCAUUAAAUGUGGAACUUAAAAGUUGUUUUGAUAACUCUAAAACAUUUCUUAAUAUGUAUUAGCCCCUGAGUUUGCAACAGAAGUUGGCUUUGAAAUAACCAAAUCUAUAUAUUUAAAAACAACAAAAAAAAAGGAAAAAAUGUGUUUACAAUUUAAUAUGUUAAUGGUCCAAUUCUGUAAAUUUUGUGUUACAGCCUUUUCAUAAGAGCACUCUUCAAUGAUACAUUGCAUCUGUGGAAACAAUAUUGUUUUUAACUUCAGUCAUAUAUGCAACAUGUCAGAAAGGGAGCGUCUAUACUCAUAACAUCUUCCACAGUUAUUGAAUUUCUCAGGUUACAGAAGCCAUAACUAAAAAAACGUAUUUCUCAAAUAUUGUUUGAUUCCUAAAGUUCUUAACUGCUCAGUUAUUGCGUGCUAAUGUUCAUGACACUGGUGUAAUUGAAGCAGUAAGAGGUUUCUCUUCAUUUAGUGCCAAAACAAAUAUGAAACAUUAAACCCCUGUGGGUGCAGAUUAUUGCAAGCACAGGCUGAUGGGUUAGAAAUUGUUGAAAGAUGAGAUUUCUGAUGACUAGUAUUGCUUCAGUUGUCAAAAAAUCUUGACUAUGAAAUGAACCCUUUUUGGUAAUUGACGAGGUACUUUUUAGAUAGCGUACAAUGGUUCUUCCUCUCUCUCAUCUAAUUUUAUUGAUUAAAGUACACGGUGCUUCUGGGGUUUCAACUUUCUAAUGUCUAAAACCCUUGAAAACCUAAUUAGUGACAUUCUUUGAGCGAUUUCCAGAUUUUGAGAAUUUGGAUGCAUUAAAAAAAAAAAAUUUUUUUACUGAUAUUUAAAAUGUAUCAUCCUCUAAAAGAAACAUUUUGGAAAAAUCUGUACAAGCUCGUCUCUCUCAGCUUGCAGAGGUUCUGAGGAAGUUUGUUAUUAUGGAGAUAUCUAGAAAAGGAAUAUGUUGCAAAAGACGGAUCUAGCAGAACUACUUGAUUUAUGCGUGUUUCUAAUACAUCCUUGCCAUGUGCUUUCUUGUAGCUUUUUGGUUUGUCUGCAAGACUGUAAAAUGUAAUUCCUCCUGUAAGAAAUUUAUGAAAGAGCUUCCUAGGUUAUUUUAUUAAAAUCAUUGAGACUAAAAUGUUGAUGUGUAAUCUUUGGAUAGAUUUGAAAAUAAAUUCUCAGUAAACCUUUAAAAAGUAA
Molecule: non-coding RNA, 3825 nt
Organism: Anas platyrhynchos (mallard)
Lineage: Eukaryota; Metazoa; Chordata; Aves; Anseriformes; Anatidae
Source: RefSeq, a predicted model, not a curated record